This is a non-coding RNA of Microcebus murinus (gray mouse lemur), 188 nucleotides long. NCBI's taxonomy places the organism in Eukaryota, Metazoa, Chordata, Mammalia, Primates, Cheirogaleidae. The record is from RefSeq and is a predicted model, not a curated record.
CAAAGAGCCAUGCUGUGAACCUGUGAACUGAGUAUGGGAAGGAACCUCUAGGACCUGAGAGUGGCCUCCAGCCCACAGCCAGGAAACACUAGGAAUCUAAUAAAGUCAUGAAUAUUUUGAGAAACUCUCCCAAAGACCUAGGAUUGGUUUAUAGAGGAAUCUCAGCCUGACAGCGCAGGGAGAAUGCC